GUAGAGGGCCAGGACUUAGGGACUCGGGGACGAUUGCAGAUGGCUACAAUGCAUGCGAACCAGCAGCUGUACUAUCCUCCAGCCACUCGAGAUGACUUUUGCCCCGACAAUCGAUGUGGCGACAGGCUUCGUCGGGGGCUCCGAGCUUCAUGGAAACAGGCUUUGUAGCGACGACUUUGGUUGGGGCAAGGAGGCAGAGCAGAGCAACACAUGGAAGAUUUUGAAA
Humulus lupulus (European hop) is the source of this 226-nucleotide long non-coding RNA. RefSeq lists it as uncharacterized. The transcript is spliced from 2 exons. The record is from RefSeq and is a predicted model, not a curated record. Lineage: Eukaryota; Viridiplantae; Streptophyta; Magnoliopsida; Rosales; Cannabaceae.